Molecule: non-coding RNA, 100 nt
Filed under: Halobacillus sp.
Lineage: Bacteria; Bacillati; Bacillota; Bacilli; Caryophanales; Bacillaceae
Also listed under: 1 other name
Description: TPP sequence
Rfam family: TPP riboswitch aptamer (THI element)
About the family: Vitamin B(1) in its active form thiamin pyrophosphate (TPP) is an essential coenzyme that is synthesised by coupling of pyrimidine and thiazole moieties in bacteria.
Source: RNAcentral
AAAGCCUUCAAGGGGAGCCUCCGGCUGAGAGUGGACGCUGUGUCCAGACCCUUCGAACCUGUCAGUUAGCACUGGCGCAGGGAUGGCGGCUUUUUUGAUG